This 21909-nucleotide long non-coding RNA is filed under the name Solanum tuberosum (potato). RNAcentral describes it as "long non-coding RNA (STUB_LNC005622)". The record is from RNAcentral. Lineage: Eukaryota; Viridiplantae; Streptophyta; Magnoliopsida; Solanales; Solanaceae.
CUUUUUCUUUCUUUUUUCUUUUGAUACAAAGCCUUACCAAUAAUAUUUUUCUCUUUCUCUCUUUUUUGUUUACACAAUAGAACUAAGUAAUACAAUGCUUAUUAAAAGUAGAGUAGAGAAUGAAGGAUGAUUCAGACUCGGUGUACACUCUUAUCUAUGGCAGAUGAGUUCUCUUUAUAGUGUUGAGACUUGAAUAUUCUUCAUGAAGAGAUAGCAACCCAAGAGAUUUGAUACUUGGAAAAGUAGGCAAGGGAUCCUUAUUUUCCAAGAAUAAUGUUAAGGCUAAUCUUCGAUUUCCUUUUUGAUUUUUCCCCGACAUCUUUCCUUAUUGUCAUCUUCCUUGAUUGAGUCUUGAUUGAGAUCAAUUUAUUGUAGCCGUUAUAUUCUCCUUCCUUGAUUGAGAAUCUUUAUUGUAGCCGUUAUAUUCUUCUUCCUUGUUUGAUGAAUCUUUGAUUGAAAAUCUUCUAAUAUGUGGCCGUUACCAGAUUGUAUGUGAUCCCGAUUUCCAUGAUUUCUGGAAUUUGAGUGGUGAUUUCUGGAUUACUUUAUUCCUGGUUCCAUUCGUGAUUCUUUCCUUUUUGAUAUCGUGUUAACCUGCAAAGAUCUAUUGUUUAUCAUUAAAACCAUGCGCUAACAAUCUCCCCUUUUUUAUGAUGACAAUAUAUAGUAGUGAUACUUCCCUAUUUUUAUAAUCGAUUGGUAUAGCUGAGAUCUCAUUAGCUCCCCUGAAUGAUAUGAGGGUAUUAUCAUUGCUAUGCUAUGUGGUCGAGCCUUAGGUGUAUGCGAGCUACAUCUGUACCCAUCUCCUUAGUUACAUCCUUCACAUUGUAUAUCUUGAAGUAAGUAGUAAGUAGGAUAUCCUUAAGAGAGUCCACUUGUUCUCGCAUGGCAAUCAACUUGGUCAUAAGAUCGAUUACCUGAGUGACAGUGAUAGACACAACAUCCAACUUCGCAUUCAUAUCAGCAAGAUUCUCCAGAGUAGCAUUAAGUAUGGCAAAGGAAACAGAGGUGAAAGAAGAGGGUUUGGACUUCAAAUUCUUUGCAGCCACAUCUUCUGUGUCAUUCUUGAGAACCCAAGAGGAAUCAGUAUGAGAGUAACCCAUGCUAACAAAGGCAUGAGAAUAGUAGUUUUUCUUGAUGAAAAUAUGAGAGAUGUCACUAAGGCAUCUGAAGUGAGAUUCCAAUAUGCAAGUUAUGAACAUACCAAAGGAAAGACUAGAGGGUUCAGAGAUGACAUCUGCCAUGGCAGAAAGGAUAAAGGAGGAGAGAAGCAAUUUUGUCCCAGAAACAAGAUAGUACGCGAGCAAAGUGUCACGCUGAGUGAGUGUAGAGUGAGAACCAUCCCUAGGGAGAAGGGUGGUAGAAACCAUAUGGUGAUAACAUGAGUUUCAAGCGGUAGAUAUUUGGGACCCAGAUGAGAGCAUAGGGGUCAAUAAUAAGUUCACGCUUGUCCUGUUUGAAAGAGACAUCACAAUUAGAAGGCCAACAAUUUUCUGAAGGCUCCAUGAUACCAGAAUAAGAUAUAUCAAAUAUAUAAUAAAUUUUAUGCAGUCAAGAAAGAAGAACUUUCCAAGAACUAAAGAUUCAAUUUCUCCUGCAAAGGGAGUGAAGAAUUUGAAGGGUUUUUUGAUAUUACUGAUGAGCAGACCAAAGAGAUGUCGACUUAAUGACGGAAAAGAAACAGAAAGAUGCAUAAAUUAAAGGCAUAUUCAGAAGGAAAGUAAUUAAGAAAAUGAAACCCAAUAUACGAGGCGUCAAAAAAUACUAUUGAGAAAGGAAAACUAUUAAUGCAAGCAAUAAUUCCAACAAUUUAAGGGAUUUUCAACAAUAGUUAAAGAUUUAUGGAGAGUACAAAAUCUUUUGUCCAAAAGAGGUUUGUAAAAAAUUCAGCUAGUUGAAUAUCAGUGCUAAUAAAAGAUAUUUCAAUGUCUCCAUUUAGAACAUGAUCACGAAUAAAAUAAUGCUUGAUAACAUUGUGCUUAGCACGAGAGUGAUCCACCAAGUUUUUAGAAAGACAUAUAGCACUAGAGUUAUCACAUUUUUAAUCUUAACAAGUUUAAAAAAUAAGUCAUAAAUACUUAAUUGAUGGACCAUCCACAAAAUUUGAGCACAACAUUGUCCAAUAGCAAUAUACUCAGCCUCUGUGGUAGAAAGUGAUACCGAACCCUAUUUUUUGCUAUUCCAAGAUAUCUAGGAUUUUCCUAGUACUUGACACGUACCAGUGGUGCUUUUCCUGUCAUUUUUGUCACCUGCAUAAUCAACUUUAAAAAAUCCUUCGAGAAUUUUUUUCUCUCUUGGGUACCAUAGUCCAAAAGAAUUUGUUCUCGCCAAAUACCGAAUGAUUCAUUUUACAGCAGUUAGAGGAGACUCCUUAGGAGCUGACUGGAAUCUUGCACAUUUGCAAACACUAAAAUGUAUGUCUGGUCGACUGGCAAUGAGAUAGAGUAAGGAACCAAUCAUACCUUGAUAUUUUAUUUCGUCGACUAUCUUACCUUCUUCAUCUUUAUCGAGAGAACAUGUGGAACUCAUUGGAGCACCUAAGGAUUUUGAGUUUUCCAUACAAAACUUUUGAAUUAAUUCUUUGCAAUACUUAGUUUGGCAUAAGAAUGUACCUUUCUCCGAUUGAUAGAUUUGCUGCCUAAGGAAGAAUGUUAACUCCCCCAUCAUACUCAACUCAAAUUCAGUUUGCAUAAGAUCAGAAUAUUCUUCAUAUAGAGAGAUAUGAGCACUUCCAAAGAUGAUGUCGUCAACAUAGAUUUGAAUAAUGAGAUUUUCAGAGGAAGAUCUUUUAAUAAAAAGAGUUAUAUCAUUUUUCCUCUAGUAAACCCAUGAUUAAUUAAGAAAUUACUGAGACGAUCAUACCAGACAUGGGGUGCUUGCUUAAGACCAUAAAGAGAUUUUGAGAUUUUAAAAACAUGAUAGGGAAAAUUAAAGUUUUCAAAACCUGGAGUUUGCUUCACAAAGGCUUUUUCUUCAAUAAAGUCAUUUAAGAAAGCAUUGUUUACAUCCAUUUGAAAUAAUUUGAAACCUUUAUAAGUAGCAUAUGCGAGAAGUAAAUGAACAGAUUCUAACCUAUCUACAGGAGCAAAAGUUUCAUCGUAGUCGACUCCUUCCUGUUGAGAAUAACCUUGUGCCACUAAUCGAGGCUUAUUUUGUAUCACUUUUCACGAUUCAUUGAGUUUGUUUGUAUAAACCCAUGUGGUUAUAAUAAUAAAAUUAUUUUUAGGUUUAGGAACCAGUGUCCAUACCUGAUUUUUUUCAAACUGAUCCAACUCUUCUUUCAUGACCUUGAUCCAAUGUUCAUAUGUGAGAGCCUUAUUUAAUUUUUUUUGUUCUAGUUGAGAGAUGAAAACAAUAUUUGUCUCAUUUCUUAUUGAUGCUUGAGUCUUCAUUCCUUCACUUGGAUUUUCAAUAAUAAACUUGUUUGGAUAGUUUGGUUUACUUAGCCACUCAUUUGGAACUAUUUCGACUAUUGGAUCAAUGGGAGUGUCUUUAGUAAUCAACUCUUCAUUAUUGUUUGUCUCCUUUUGAGUUGAUAUUGUCAGUUGACUAUCUUCUUCAUUUGUGUUUGUUCUUAUCUCAACAGUUUUAUUAGAGUCAUCAAAAACAACAUGAAUGGAUUCUUCAAUAUUUAAACUUCAUUUAUUGAAAACUCUAUUAGAUUUGCUAGAAUUAGAGUAACCAAGAAAUAUACAUUCGUCACUUCGUGCAUCAAACUUACCGAUGUUGUCUUUACCGUUGUUGUGAACAAAAUAUUUGUAUCCAAAUGGAUGAAAGUAUCCAAUAUUAGGUCUCUUACCAUUCCAUAAUUCGUAUGGAGUCUUUUUUUAAAUAGGUACGAUUAAGCAUUGAUUUAGCACAUGACAAGCUGUACUCACAACUUAUGCCCAAAAUUUGUGUGGGAGAGAAUUAUCAAUAAUCAUUAUACUUGCCAUAUCCUAUAGUGUCCUAUUCUUUCAUUCCACGACUCCAUUUUGUUGAGGUGAGCGAGGGGAAGAAAAAUUGUGAGUGUAGCCUUUUUCAUUGCAGAAGUUUUUGAAAGACUUGUUUCUCAGAUUCAGUUCCAUGAUCACUUCUUAUAGAUGUGAUGUAAUAACCUUUAUCUCAUUAAGAUUUUUCACCAAAGAACUCAUCGUUUUUGAAAGUGCCAUAUUUAUGAGAUAGAAACAUUACCCUUGUAAAACGAGAAUAAUCAUCAACAAUUAUGAAUACGUACCUUUUACUUCCGAUGUUGGUUGUUCUAGUGGGUCAAAAUGAGUCCAUAUGUAGUAGCUGUAAAGGUUUAUUUGUGGAUACAAUAUCUUUACAAGAGAAUGAGUUUCCCAUUUGCUUACCCAUUUGACACUUCACAUAUAUGAUAUUUUGAAUAGUCCAACUUAGGUAAUCCUAUGACUAGUUCAUUUUUUGCAAGUUUCCCUAUUAGUCGCAUGCUUGCAUGGCCGAGUUUCUUAUGCCAAAUCCAGGGAUCAUCAGUCAUUGAAGCUAGGCAUAUAUGUUCUCCAGUAUUUUUCAUAGAGUCAAGAAUAUAAACAUUCUUUUUUCCGCUUCCUUGUAGUAGAUUAUAUUCAGAGAGAUCUUCUAUUACAGAUCGAUUAUUUUUUAAAUUGAACUUUCAAGUUUAACUCGCAUAGUUGACUGAUACUUAUAAGAUUGUACUUCAACCCUGUCACUAGAUAAACAUUUGUGAGAUCACAUGAGUCAUUAAAAGUAAUUGUACCAAUGCCAAUUACUGUUCCUUUUGAGUUAUCACCAAAACGAAUGUUUCCUCCCUUAUAUUCAACAGUAGAUAUAAAUAGGUUUUUAUCUCCUGUCAUGUGAUUUGAACAUCUGCUAUCUAGAUACCACUUUCCUUUUGUUUUUCUGCGGUGUUCCUGCAAAACAAAUAUAUGAUAUCCUUUUAGGUACCCAAACUUUUUUGGUCUUUUGAGGUUAGAACUAUCCAGAUUUAUUUCGGAUCUCCAGACCCAUUUAGAAGUAUCAUGAUUUCAAAAUCUGUAAUUAUACGAUAAGUGCCCAGACUUUCCAUAAUAAUGACAACUUUUAGGGAUGUCUUCUUUUGAGAUGGAGUUGUUACUGUUAGUUUUUGAAUCAUUUGACUUAUAGGACUGAUUGCAACUAAAGUAAUUUCCAUUUGAAUUUUUUUACUGCUAGAGACCUUUUUAUGAGUUUUAGAGGAAUUUCUUGAAGAGUCAGAUUUGUUUUUAAAGCUUUCGAGCGUAGUUUUUAUUUCAUGAAUCUCUUCGUAUAAAAGAUCUUUUUCAACUUCACUGACUUCCAAUUUUAUUUCUAAAUCUCUUUUUUCAGUUUGAAGAUUUUGAAAAUCAGAAAAAAAAAACUCAAUUUAGGUUUGUCACAACACGGUCUAGCAAUGUUUUUUUAAUUCAUUGCAAUUGUUACAUAUAUAUCUCAGUGCUUAUUUCUCCGAUUUCCAUGAAGCAUAUGUUUUCAAUUUCUUCAUUAUCAUAUUCUGAAUUUACUUCAUCGCUCUAACUACUUAGUGCUUUGUUCUUUUGAUUUCAUCUGGAGAAAUUUUUCUUUGCUUCUGGGCAUUCACUGCUAUGUGUUCAUAUUUUCCGCAGUCAUAGCAUUUUCCGUCAUUUCUGGAUUGAUCAGUGAUAUACUUACCCCUUCCAAAAUUUCUUCCUCUUAUAUUAUUUUUGGACCUCCUAAAUGAUUCCAUGACUGAUCGAGUGAUUAAAGCAAAUUCAUCUUUUGCUAGUUCUUCUUCUCCUUUGUCCUCCUAAUUUGCUUUAAACUCCACAAUUUUCUUUUUAGCGUCUUCUUGGCCUCUUUUGUUAAGAUGUGUUUUCUCAAAAGUGAUUAAGUCUCCUCUUACCUCAUCAUCGGUUAGAGUGCUUAAGUUCAUGCUUUCAAGAGCAAGUACUUUAGCAUGCCAUUGAGGUGAUAAACUCCUGAGGACUCUUCAUAUAUGUUGAAUAGGAGGAUAUGUUUUUCUUGAAGCUUUUAGUUCACCAAUGAUCUUACUCAGUCGUGCAAACAUGCUUUCAAUUGUUUUUCCUUCCUUCAUUUGAAAUAGUUUGUAUUCAUAUACUAGCAGACUAAUGAUGGUUUCUUUGACUUUGUCAGUUUCGUAACCUCUUAUUUGUCCCAUAUUUCUUUGGCAGUUUCACAACAUGAUUUUUUUUUUUCAUAUUCCUCACCACUAAUAGCAUUAUGUAGAACAUUCUUUCUUUGGAGUUUAUUUGAAUAAUCUCCAUCUGUUCAUUUGUGUAGUUCUCAAAACUUGGAGUGAUGGAGGAUUGACUAUCAUUUGAACUUUUUGAAGUAGGAAUAGGAAUAUCACCAAGCUUGAUGACUCUCUAAACUUUCACAUCAUAAGAUUUUAUGAAAGUUUCGAUUCUCACUUUCCAGUAAGAAAGGGUGUUUUCCAUUAAAAUAGGGAGGUCUUGUCUGAGAGGUUCCUUCUUGAAAUAGUGCGCCUAUGAUUUGUUGUGUCAUGAUCUUUUUCUCACAUGUUUGUUAGACAGAUAUUUGUGAGACGAGGCUUUGAUACCAAUUGAAAGUGCAAGAGAGGGGUGAAUUGCUUUGUUUUUAUUUUCUUUCUUGAAUAGUCGACUUAUGAGAGUUGCUAGUCAACUGGUAUUUCUAGAAAUGAAUAAAUACAAAAGUAAGAUUGAAACAAAUUAUUUUUAUACUGGUUGAGAUCAAAUGUGGAUCUUACCUCCAUUCUCCUUGGGUUGCAAAGGUGUUUUCUUCUAACCUUUAGAAUCUUUGUAGUGAGUACAAGUUUAGAGUAUAGUUCUUAUGACUACACUCAAUAAUUUUCUUUCUCUUUUCUUUUGAUAGAAAGCCCAACCAACAAUAUUUUUCUCUUUUUUUUUGUUUAGACAGUAGAAAUAAGUAACACAAUGAUUGUUAAAAGUAGAGUAGAGAAUGUACAAUGAUUCAGACUCGAUGUAAGCUCUUCUCUAUGGCAGACAAGUUCUUUUUAUAGUGCUGAGACUUGAAUCUUCUUCAUGAGAGAGAGCAACCCAAGAGAUUUGAUCUUUCGAAAAGAAGGCAAGAGAUUCUUAUUUUCCAAGAAUAAUAUUAAGGCUAAUCUUCAAUUUCCUUUUUGAUUUGGCCUUGACAUCUUACUGAUUGCCAUCUUCCUUGAUUCUUCCUUGUUUGAUGAAUCUUUGAUUGAAAAUCUUCUGAUUUUUGGCCGUUAUCAGAUUGUAUGUGAUCCUAGUUUCCAUGAUUUCUGGACUUCGAGUGGUGAUUUCUGGAUUACUUUAUUCCUGGUUCCAUGCUUGACUCUUUCCUUUUUGAUGUCGUGUUAACAUGCAGGGAUCUAUUGUUUUUCAUUAAAUCCAUGCGCUAACAGAUGUCAUAGACAUUAAUACAGAGAAAAUAUAGAGCUAAAUUAGAGAGUAAUUGAAUUCAGACUACAAUAUUUUUUAAGUGAUCAAUAACUUAUUGAUACACAAAUUUAUAGGUCAAUAUAGCUUUAAUUAUGAUCUAAAUUCGAUGGAUACAACUUAUUUCACAGGCAAAAGUUUCAAGAAAAUUAUUUAACGCAUAAUUUUUAAUUUUCAGGGUAAAAUUUUUAGAAGACUUAGAUUAAGAUAUAGAUCUAUCAAGGAACUUAUGCAAUAUAAUAUAAUUUGUACCACUGAAGUUGUGUUGUCAUGUGGCAUGACUUGCACCAUUCAACUUAUACUUUGGACAUAACUUGGAUCACUUAACUUAUCUCUUGAGUUUAAUUCUUUUUGUCUUCAGGCAUAACUUAUGCCAAUGCAUAUACAUCUUGGGCAUAACUUGUGCCCUGGCCUACUUUCAUUUGCCUUGUGAUAUAAUAGGACAAUAAUUAAAUAUUAAUAAUCUGAAAGAUAAAUUAAAAAUCAUCCCGAAAUAAGGCAUUAUGGAAAUAAACCAUCUUAAAGUGGAUAUUUCUUUUUGGCAUGAAAAUGGCACUAGAUAACUACUUUUAGAACUAUUGUUUAGAUUAUAGCCAAUGUGGAUAAAUCAUUUAGUGUUAAACAUAUUUCAAAAUCUGAGUAACUACGUAUUUAUUCUAAGUUGUUUCAAACUUUAGAUCACAUUAUUCUAAAGUUCAAUUUUUUUUCAUGUUUAAAUUUUUAUGAAUUGUGUCCUGCAAUAUCAAAACUUCAACCAAAUUUCAAGCAAGUUUAAUUUUUUCAGUUCAAAGCUUGAUAUUGUGUCUCGACGUUUAGUUUUUCCAAGUCAAAGCUUUAAAACAUUAUGUCCUGAGUUUUAAUUUUUCAACUCAAAAUUUUAUGAGACUAUCUUGAAUUUUAGGUUUUCAAUUCAACAUUUUAAAAUAUUAUUUUUAGAGUUCGAUCUUGAAGUUUUUAAUUGGGGAGCUUAAUUUAAUUGAGGAGUCACAAUGAAAAAUUGUGUGAAUUUAUACAGUUGGCAAAUAGUAUUUUGUGUAAUAGAAAUAGAAUUGAAAAAGACAACAAAAAAUAAUUUAAAAAGAGAAGCGAGAAAAAAGGACUAUCAUUUUAUAAGUGUCUGAUUAAGCCUUUAAUAAUUUUAUCUUCCUAUUUUUAAUCUUUAUUAUAAGAAGAUGAAAUAAAGAAAAUAUUCAUUUGACUAGACUUAUAUAAAGUAAAAUGUUAUUACAAUUUGCAAUGUACGAAAAUAGUUCAUGUUUCAUGAUGCGAUGAGAAAUCAUACUACUAAUUUUUUUAGAACUUAGAAAUUGAUAGACAAAAACAAGUUCACCAUAUUAUUCUUAUGUUUCCCUUUAAAUUUCCUUGAAUCUGUAUUUUUUAAUAUAACUUUUUAUCAUUACCAUUCUCAUCACAUCUUGAAGUCCACCGAUUUGAUUGUUUUAGUCAUUAAUCGAUAUAAAAUUGUCACGACCCGAUUUCUCAAGUCAUGAUGAAACCUACUACACCCCACUAGUAGGUAGGCCUAACCCUUAGCCCGGAGCCAUAAGCAACGGACUAUCAAGCAGAAGUGAACCACAAGAAGUAAGAGCUUAGAAUAAAGCAGAGAAAUGAUGAUCAACAAAAUCAUACAGGAAUCAUCCCAAGACCUGGCAUCAGUUAGUACUUAAGCAUCUAAUAAAAAAUAGGAGUAGACAGCUUUCACAAAUACAAGACAAGUACAGGUUUCCUUUGAAUACAAUAUAAAGACUAAAUCUAGCCAAAACAGACAGAAACGGGUAGCUCCAGACGCCAAGAAUUCACCCUAAUCUCCAAAACCCCAAGCUGCUCCGCACGACUCCAAAUAAAUAGCGAUAACUCAAUUGCAAUCUACAGAGGGCAGAAGUGUAGUAUGAGUACCAAAACGGUACUCAGCAGGCAACAACCGACUAAGCUCAAAAGAUAACACAUGCAUAAACAACAAGUAAUAAAGAAAACAUAGCACAACUAAAUAAAAGGUACUAAAGUAGACAGGAAAUAAAGAAUUGAAACAGGAAACAAAGGGCAAGAAGUUGAGUAAAGAACGUAUCUGGACCCAAGCCAACAAGAUAAUCGUAAACAACUAAGAUACCAAACCAACUACCCAGUGUCAGGAUGGCCCAUAAUUACAAUUCUAAAGUCAAAACAUACCAGGUAACAAUAAAAUAAUAGUAGAGAAUAUAAUAUAGUAAAAAGAUAACCUAACUAAACCCCCAUACGCCCAAAAGGUACAAAUAGCAAACAUGCAUAACCCAACCGCCCCCCAUAAACUGAAGGGUACAGACAACAAACAAGUAUAUUGGUGAUAAAAAAUGCAUUUGAAUGCAGGGUGAGCAGUAGAACCAUCAGUAACAAUCCAAACUCCUGACCAGAGGUAAUGACCUCGAACUGCAAAACUUCAGCCUUAGACUGAGAAUAAUGGCCUCAAACUAUCAAUAUCAGCCUCAAACUGGAGAUAAUGACCUCGAACCGUGAGCAUCGGUCUCAAACCAGAAGUAACAACCUCAAACCGUGAGUAACCAAUAAUGGGGUCGCCUACCCAGCCAGUAUACUCCGAGGAAUGCCAGCAAGACCAAAAGCAUGCAAGAAAGGGCGUUGAUGCGCCGAGUAGUCAAGUGAAAACUAAGCAUAUCCCAGAUGCCUCUAAUAUCUAAAGUAGGAAAGGAGCACGCCCCUGACGCCUCGUAAUGUCAAAAAUCAGUAAGUCAAGUGAUCCAGGUGGUACAAAUCCCGUUAAAACCCCUUUAGAUUACAAAUCGAGUAAGUUAGUACCUCAUUAUGAAUGAUAAAUAUGCCAAUGCAUGGGUCGAGAUCGUACCACAAAAUUCAUGAGAAUGAGCAAACAAUGCAAUGCAUGCCAUCACCAACAUUCAAAGGGCACUCAAAAUCAAAUAAUUAUGCAGUCAAUGAAACCACGCUACUAAAGCAAAAAGUACUAACCUGGGAUCCAACUAGUCCUCACAUACUACCUCCGACCCAACAAUAUAAUCAUAAGCUCAAUAAGUAUACAACAUGCCCACCGCUAAUCAACAAGCAAAUGGAUCAAGAAGAGAUUUCAAAUCAAUAAAGGGGGAGAAAACCCAAGGGGUGACGCCCUACCCCAAUCACACCGCUUCACCAGACUGAGCACAUUAGGACUAACCCACGGCUAUGAUGAGCCACAAAGGUCACAAACAUCAACGCAAGGAGAACGACCCAAAACAAGCCCUAAAAGGAGAAAACUAUAACUACGAGGCGAUAAAACACAACUUAAAGCAUCUAAUGUUCAACCUUGUCUAAGGCAACCACAAAUCAAUCCUAACAAGGAUAAGCAAGAUCAUCUACACCACAAGCGAAGCCACAGUCUAAACUAAGGAUCCCAACCACAAAAAUACCAAGCCUCCUACAGAAUCAAGAAAGGAUGGAAUUACAAGAGGAAAGCUAAAUACCCGCCAAAUACCAAAAAAAUUUACAUGAAUUCUAUACUAGGCAUUAUCUAAGAAGCUCAAUCAAGAAAGUAGAUUGAAGCCUACCUCAAAUUAUCAAAUUAUCGAUCACAAUGUCAUUAUAGAUAUUUUGACACAAAAAUUGCAACAAUUAGAAAUGAACCCAAAAUUGAGUCAAAACGGAAAUGUGGGACCCAUGCCGGAAAUAUCAAAACUAACUUCGUCAAAAGGUCCUAACCUACGCCUCGAACUUGUGUUCCAAAAUUGAACACAAUUUGAGGCUCGAAAAUAGCCACAACAACAUGUAAAAUUAACAAGAAAACCAAGCUAAGCGAGCAUCUUCGAGCUCAAAGUCACCUCAAACAAAUGUUCCUCAACAACUUCUAAUCACAAACCCAAGUAUCCACGCUCCCAACGAUCACACGGGACUUUGAAUCACUCAAAUCGGAGCUCGGAUGAGGGAGAAAUCACCUUUUGAAAAUGAUGGCUGACAGCUGAAUUUUUUGGAUAUAAAUACCCGAAACUGGUCGCUAAAAGUUCUAAAUUCUAGUCGCUAAAAGUUCUAAAUUCUAGUCGCUAAAAGCCUGCACCAGAUAUCAACACUUCAGCUGGUUUGCUCAAACUUUGAAUUCUCCAACAAGGUGCCCGGGAUUCAUUCGGAACCCCGUGCGCACAAAUAAAGUAUGCUACCCCAUCACAUUCGCAUUCCAAAAUCAACGGAACCAUCAAAAUUUCCGUUUGAGGCAGUUUCGAUGAAAAAUGGGUCCCACACUCAAGUUCUGUUUUAAGCUACAAACCACACGAAAGCUCAAAAUGAGACAGAAAGACUAGGGAAUGCACAAAAUAUUGUUCUAAACCAAACUCGAUAUUCCAAAGCUAACUGCGCUGAUGGAAUUCUCAUCUGAGAAAAUUUACCAAGAAUAUUGGCCAAAGUCAACCCUUGGCUUAAGCUUCAAAGUUAAAAUGCCUAAUGAAACAAACUCACACUAGAAGUCUCGAGGCCCAAACCAACCAUCCCCCUAGCCUAAAAUGACCCUCUCGGAGCUGAUGAAACCCCCAACUUAAACGUUUGCUUAUCCUUAAGUAAAUCAAGAACACAAUUAGCUUAAACGUCUACAACAGUAUGCAUGAGAGCUAACAUGCAAGUUCCAUAACAAGAUUACUCUCAACAACAUGCUACACUCAAUCAUGAUAAAUAAAAAAAACCUUCAAAUUAUGACUAGCCAGUUUCAUCACAAGCUCAAGCUCACUUUAGCUUCUUUUCUAAAAUGUAAGACCAUGUUUCAAUAAAUGCAUUCAAGUGCCCUCACAUUAAGAACGAUUCCAUUCUCUCACAAAGAAAAUCAACAAAGACAUAAGGAAUCAAUGCAACUCUCACUCUAUCAAAAGAGAAAUACAUGCAAGCUUCGUUUCAUAGGUUUGCCCAUAUUUUCCAAUUAUCACACAACCUAGUUCAUGCAAGAGCCCAAAGAUGUAAUGGGGCUGAUGGUUAAGGUAUGGUCAAUUUGGUUCAGUGGCUUCACCUUUUCAAAGCAUUGUUGCAAUCAUCUUCACCUCUUCUCAAGUUUUUUUCAUUCUUUUCCAAUUGAGAACUCAAACUUUGACUUUUUACUCAUUUUAUUUGGAAUCCCCUUUAUUUCAUCACUUCUCUUUUCCAUUUCCAUUAUCUCAACAUUUUUUUUAAUAAGGAGGGGUUCCUUCCUUUUGUAACAAACUUCAAAGUUGAGUCCAAAUUCAUCUUUCUUUGCCCUUCACUUGGCUUUCAUUCUUCCUUUCUUUCCACACCUCUAACUUAGGCUUUUGGUCUAAGUUGGCUAUUCAAACAUAACAAUGCUUCAAAAAGGAUUUUGGGUGAGAAUGUAGGGACAAUUUUUGCUCAAGAGGUUUUAGCUUGUUUUUGUCAACAAAUGGUUUAGGCUCAAAUGAUAUCAAAAUGGAUGCACACCUUCACAAGAUAUUACAUGUUUAAGAUAGUUGGGAAAGACAUAGAUUUAAAGAUAAAUAAUUUUUUGAGAUAUAUUAAAAUAAAGUACAAUUUGUAAUUUUAGAUAUAUUAUAAUAUUUAUAUGAUAAUUUUAUUAAGGAUAAAUAAGAAGUUUAAAAUUAAAUACAAAUUUGGUAUAUAUUUUAAAAUUUUAAGUUUUAUACAUUAAAAUAUUAUAUAUUCUAUGGUAGUAUAUUUUUAAAGUUUUGUAACGUUAAAACAAUGCCCAUCAAUUGCAUUGCAAGAAGGUCAUUAUUUUUUUAUUGAGCUCUUAAUUUUGUAUGUUUUAAAUGUUUGUAUUUUUUUUUUGCCCAUGUGAAAGAUUUUUUUUUUUUUACAAAAAGAAGUGAUUUCAUUAUUUUGCAAUUUUUUUUUUUUAAAAGAGGAGUGCACAAUGCCACUCCAAAACAACCUUCCAUCUUUUUGUAUUACUGUAAUAAAAUUUAAAUGAGAAAAAUCUUCUCUUCAAACUCAAUUUUAGCUCUAACUUUAAUGUAUAAUCUACUAUAAUUAAUAAUUAAGUUUUUAUCAUAUUUAUAUUUUUUGAACCUUCUAUUUAACUGGACCAUUUCUUCAACGUUUAAUACACUAUUUCUUAAGCAAAUUAGUAUUCAUAUUCUUCUCAAAAAGAAAUUAUCAAUCAAUCAUGGCUAACAUGCUUCGAGCUAAUCAAGCCGCUAGGGCCAUUUAUAAGCCUAAAGGUCCAGUCGUUUAUGGUGAGUGCAACUGUUGUCUCUUAGCAAGUGUUAAUGCUACCGAUAGUGUCAGGCUUUUGCUCCUGGCUGUCCUUUCGGUAUCAUAUAAUUUUUCCAAUGUCAAUUUUGUCAUUGUCAUCAGAAUGUCCAUCGUAGGUUGUAUGUCAACAAUCAUCAACUUCCACCAACACCAACACAACAACAUGUUAAUUUUAUUUAGAAUUGUAUGAAUAUAUCAAUUGUCAUACCUUUUUGAAUGAAUCGUUGAAUUGCUGCAUGCUUUGCCAAAAAAACAUAAAAGUAAUAUCCCCUUUGAAUUUUUCAUCUAUUAUAAAAAAUACUAUCUUUUUUUAGAUCUGUUUUAAUUAAUAUUUUUUACUUUUAUUUUUCAUUGUAAUGCUAUCAAUUAUAACUAGUUACAGAUUUAAAGAAUUUUUUUUAUAUAAAUUAUUGAUUUAAGAUGGCAAGAUUUAAAAGUCUCAUUUACUUUCAUAAAGUAUGUAUCAAAUCAAACUAAGUCACAUGUAUGAAAUAAAUUUAUCUUAUUCUCCAAAAAAAAGUUUUUAAAAAUAAAUAAAUAAAUAAAACAUAAUUACAUCAGGGUAAAUGGCUACAAUUGAAAAAUCUGCGGAUGUUAAGAUGGGAGAUCUUAACAUGCCAUUUCGGUUCAAUAGUAGUCAUUUCAAAAGAUGGAAGGGUAAAGUACUUUUAUACUUAAGUCUUCUCAAUGUUUCUUAUGUGUUAACUGAGAAGAAUCCUAAUAAAGUUGACAUCACCUCUAUGAAUGAUGAUGAAACUAUUUCUCAUCUAGAGCAAGUGGAAAAGUAUGAUGGUGAUUCUUAUAAGUGUCGGUAUUAUAUUUUUAAUUGUCUAUUUGAUAAUUUUUAUAAUUAUUAUGACAGAACUUACUCUAGUGCAAAGAAAAUUUGGAAAACAUUGCAGAGUAAGUAUGAUACCGAAGAGGCUGGAGCAAAACAAAUAUGCGUCUAGUAGAUUUUUUCAUUUUCAAAGGGUGGACAACAAAUCAGUGGUAAACCAAGUUCAAGACUUUAUAUUGAUUGAUGGAGAACUCAUGUCUGAGGCGGUCAAAAUUGGAGAUAACCUUAUUGUUUGUGGCAUAGUAGAUAAACUUCCACAUUCUUGAAAGAAAUUUCAAAAUUCUAUGCGCCACAAACAAAAGAAAACCUCUCUUGAAACGUUGAUAAUGAAAAUCCGCAUGAAAGAAAAAGGCAAUGGGUCAAAAUGCACUUUUACAAUCAAAAGAAAGCAACACCACAACGAAGGUAAAUUUAAUUACUUCAAAUAAUGUUACUCCUGAAUCUCACAAAAAUACUUCUAUGAAGCCUAAGAAUAAAAAAAUCAAAAAAACUAAUGGCAGACCUCCCAAGAAACUAACCAAGUACAAAAUCAACAAGUACAAGAUAAGGGACCGUGUUUUGUUUGUGGCAAGAGUGGGCAUAUUGCUCAAUUUUGUAGAUUUCGUAAAUGUGGUCCUACACCUCAGGCAAACAUUACCGAAGAACCUUUGUGGCGAUUGUUACAGACAUAAACAUGGUUGAGAGUGUUGAUGGAUGGUGGGCUGAUUUUGGUGCAAACUGUCAUAUCUGUUAUGACAGAGAUUGGUUUAAAAAAUAUACUCAUUUUGAGGAGUCCAAAACCAUCGUGCUUGGUGAUUCUCACACUACUCAAUUGCUUGGAAUGAGAGAUGUCGAAUUGUGUUUUACCUCUGGAAGGGUGUUAAUAUUGAAAAAAAGUACUUUAUGCUCAUUUUAUAAGAAAAAAAAUUGAUGUCUAGUUUUCUUCUUAGCUGUAAACAGAUUAUUAAAUCUGAUAUGUAAUUGUGAAAAAGGAUAUUUUUGUGGGAAAGGGGUAUGCAUUUGAUGGGAUGUUCAAACUGAAUGUUGAAAUGAAUAAAGUUUCUACUUCUGUUAAUAUGCUUUCUUCUACUAAUUUUUGGCAUGCUCGUUUGUGUCAUUAAUGAUCAUUAUGUUGGAAUCAUGAGUAGUUUAAGAUUAAUCCAAAUGGUUAAAAAGAAUUUUAAAAAGUGUGAGGCUUGUAGUAAAUCCAAAAUCACUAAAAUCCCUCAUUUUCAAGUUAAAAUAAAUUGAUUUGUUAGAAUUAGCUCAUACUGAUAUUUUGAACUUGGAAGAAGUUUAAAUCGUGGAGGUAAUAGAUAUUUCAUCACUUUCAUUGAUGUUUUUUCUAAGUUUACAUAUGUCUACUUGAUGAAAAAUAAAAGUGAUGCUUUUGAAAAUUUUAAAACUUAUCUCCAUGAAGUUGAAAAUCACUUUGGAAGAAAAAUAAAAAGAAUUAGAAGUGAUGGAGACUGUGAAUCUGAGUCAAAUGAUUUUAAUUCUUUUGUUAGAUCAUUGGGAAUAAUUCAUGAAACUACUCCUCAUUAUUCUCCUUCAUAUGAUGGUAUAGCGGAAAGGAAACAAUAGUACUUUGGUUGAUUUGACUAAUAUCAUGCUUAUUGAGUCAUAUGCACCUUUAAAUUUAUGGGGUGAAGCUAUUUUGACAUCUUGUUAUGUGUUGAAUCGUGUGGCUCAUAAAAAGUCUAAAUUGACACCUUUUGAAUCGUGGAAAGGUCACAAGCAAUGUUUGGGAUAUCUAAGAGUUUGGGGUUGUCUAGCCUUUGUGAAACUAAUGGAUCCCAAGAUUACAAAGUUAGGUGAUGAGUGGUAGGUUUGGACUCAUUUAAGGUCCAUUUAGCUCAAUAAUUAGUAUCCCCAAUGCUUAGCUUGUCAUUUUCUAAUCAAAUAUUGAUGAGUUGCAACUAUGGAGGAAAUUGGACAAGGCAAGGAUUGAAGUUUGAAAAAAUAACCAAAAAUACAAAAAUAAGUGCAAAGUGAACAUUGUUGUUCUCCUAACAUGAAGGGUGUAACGCCAACUGAGCACGACCUCGCCAAAUUGAUAGUGCAUAACACUUGUAUAUACCAAAGAAGGUCGGGGAACUCCAGUCGAAAAGGCGAUGCACCGAAUUAGAAUGGCGGUCCUGAUGCACAUCACCCAAAGCUAAGUGACAGUGUGCAAGGUAAAUAUUUAAUGCUCAAACGAUGAACUAAUGUGGUAUUCGAUGAGUCACCAAACAUGAAAUCCUGACUCGAUCGAGUUCACCAACUGAGGUUCAAACACCUGAAGCCUAGAGCAUCACAAGGCGAGCUGAGGAGCGAAGGGUGAUUCGCCGAGCAAGUUUGGUGAGCCCGACUAAUGUCGUCGAGUUGGUUACGAAGUGGAUUUUGGGCCAAAUUUUGGGAAAGUAUUAAUAACCCAAAGGAUACAAUUUUUAAAGAGUUUGACUACUGAGUUCAAGGGAGAAAGUUGUGAGUUAGAGUUUUAGAACACUUUACUUUUGAAAGAAUACUUUUUCUAGUUUUUUUGGAGUUUUAUAAUUUGAAGCUUGAAUUUGAUAAAUUGAAGUUAAAUCCAAAGUGGGUUUACUCUUAAUCGCUUGAUUUCAAGUUACCAAUUGUUGCUUUCAUGGAAGGUAUAUUUUCUUUACUUUUUGUGAUGGGUAGCUAAAACUCCAAGAUCUAGGGGUGCUCUAAUGGAGUUGAUUGUUGAUUUAAUGUAGUCGGUAUUGUGCUAUUCUCUGUUUUGUUGCUAUUCAUGCAUGGAUUUGGUCUAAUUACCAUGAGGUUAACUUAAGGGUUAAGGUUGCAAACUUAAUUCCUACUUUCGAUCUCUAAUUUAUGCUCGAAAGAGAUUAAUCGGAGUGGGUAAUUAGUUCAAUAUUAGGAAUUUAGGUUUGAUGUCUAUGCUUUGCUUGAAAGAAAGGUUAUGGGUCGGAUCUAUUUGCCUUAUUCUUGAAAGAGGGGAUAGAGUAAGGUAUUGAGUUGAUUAGGAUUGACAGUUAGAUGAGACCGAAAGAAGAUUCUGGGCAUAGAUGCUUUGAGAUCGAAAGGUGAUUAACGUUAUUGAAGAUGACUUAGCCUAUUCAUGUAUGUACAUCACUAUAGAGCAGCAAAAUCCAAUGUGACAUUGAUAUCCAAUCCACGCACCACUAGAUUUCUUGUUAACUCUUGAUUUCAUUCGAAUUUUAUUUUAAUUAUGAUAAUUUGAUAAUAAAAGUUUUAUAUUAAGUUGGUGGUACCACCCACCCAAUUGUUCUUACUAUGUCAAAUGAGCUAAUUUAAAGUCCAAAUCUCUCGAUAAAGAAUUCUCUACGAUAUACCAUUCCUUGUCGAAUUCGACCCCGACUCUUCAUUGGGUUUUUACUGACUACGAUCGUUCACUCUUUUAAUUGGUUUUGGAGGGUGAUUUGAGCGUUAUCAUUGGGUAAGAAAGUUACUACUUGUGCUUCUUUUUUUUUAUUAUGCUUCAAAUAGUACAACCUAUAUAUUUUUUAAUCUUGAAGGUAAUAUUAAAAGAAUCGGGUGAUGCUAUUUUUCAUGAGAAUAAAUUCCCUUUUGAUUCUAAAAAUAGAGGGGGUCAAAGGAUUGAACAAAAUAUUUUGUCACAACCUAGAAUUUCUACUUCUACUUUUAAAAAUAAAGAAAUUGAUGAUUUUGAGUUAAAGAAGAAGUAAAAGAGCUAGAGUAGAAACAUAUUUUGGUCCUGAUUUUAUGUGUUUAAUAUUGGAGAUGACCCUUUCACUUUGAGAGAAGAUUUAUCUUCACAUGAUUCUAUUUUUUUGAAAGAGGCUGUAAAAGAUGAAAUGGGAUCACUAAUUUCUAAUAAAAUUUGGAAGUUAGUUGAUUUACCACCAGAUUGUAAAAUAAUUGAUUGCAAAUGGGUCUUACGAAAAAAAAUUAAAAUCGGAUGGAUCUAUUGAUAAAUAUAAGGCUAGACUAAUUGAAAAAGUUUUUAAGUAACUAGAAGACCUAGAAUUUUUUAUACUUUUUAUCCGGUAACAAGAAUUAUAUCCAUAAGGCUUUUAAUUGGUAUGACUGCAAUUUUUGAUUUGCUAAUUCAUUAAAUAGAUGUAAAACUGCUUUUUUAAAUGGGGACCUAAAUGAGAAAAUUUAGAUGGAUCAAUUAGAGUAUUUUGUUGAAUCAGACCAAAAGAGUAAAGUGUCUAAAUUUACUAAAUCGCUAUAUGGCUUGAAAUAGGCACCAAAGCAAUGACAUGAAAAGUUUGAUUCCUGCAUGAUUGAAAAUGAUUUUAAACAAAUGAGUGUGAUAAGUGCAUAUAUCAUAAGUCUUGGAAUUAUUCACAUGUUAUUAUUUGCCUAUAUGUUGAUGAUCUAUUGACAUUUGGCUCUAACAUGAAUAUUAGAAGCCAUUUCGAUAUGAAAGAUCUUGGUGAGACAAAUUUUAUUCUUGGAAUAAAAAUAACAAGAACAUGUGAUGGAAUUUUCCUUGACCAGUCACAUUGUGUUGAGAAAUUUUUUAAAAAAAUAUAACUUUCUUGAUUGCAAGCAUAUUGUAACUCCUUUUGAUUCAAGUGUUCACUUAUUUUCGGUUGAAAGUGAAAAUGAUGUAAUAACUCAAAAGGACUAUGCUAGCUUAAUUGGAAGUUUGAGAUAUGUGACUGAUUGCACUAGGCCUGAUCUUGCUUAUGUAGUAGGAGUACUUAGCAGGUUUACAAACAAGUAAGGUAAUUAACAUUGACAUGCAAUAACAAGAGUUAUGAAAUAUUUAAUUGGAACAAAAAAAUUGUGGUUUGUUAUAUAAAAAAAAUACCGUUGUACUUGAAGGCUUUUCUGAUGCAGAUUGGAACACCUUAUCAGGUGAUUCAUGUUCUACCUCUUGUUAUAUCUUUACUUUGGGUGGUGGUACUAUUUGUUGGAGAUCAAAAAAAUAAACUAUAAUUUCUAACUCUACCAUGGAGGCUGAACAAAUUGUUUUAGCUUCAGCGAGUGAAGAAACAAAUUGGGUAAGAGAUUUGUUAUUUCAAAUACCUUAAUUUGAAAAACCAAUUCCUACUAUUUUAAUUUAUUGUGAUAGCACUGCUGCAAUUGGUAGAGUUCCAAAUUGUUAUUACAACGGUAAAUCCAGACACAAUAAUGUAAGAUCAUAUUUGACAAGUGGUACCAUUAAUGUUGAUUAUGUCAAAUCGUGUGAUAAUCUUGCAGACUCUCUUACUAAGGCCUUAACAAGAAAAAAUAUUUGGAGCACAUUGAGGGGGAUAGGAUUGAAGCCUACAAAUCCUUCAGUCAUAUAUGAGGAAACCCAACUUGGGGACUAGAGAUAAUAUAACCAGAUUCAAUGGGAAAACUGAAUCAUAUGAUGACUUAUUGUGAAAAAAUGCACUAUCUUUUUAUUCCCUCCCUAUGAUAUGAGUGUAUUGUUUCCUGUAGUAAUUUGUGAAGGCUGAGUUUACAAAAAAUUCUUAAUGAAAAUAUGUAGCCCUGGAGUGUUAAACAUACAAGAGCACUCUCGACAGAUAUCACCUAUGUGAGUGUGGAAGUAGGUCGCUUCCUAUGAGAAUUGAGCUUAUUCUCAAAAGCACUCAUGAAAUUGGGAUAACACAAGACCGUGACGUGCUGUCUUUUUAAGCUCAUAUCAACACCUUGAUUAUUUUGUGUGAACAGUGAUAUUUUAUUUCCCUUAAGUAGUCAUAGUUCAAGUCUGAGAUCACUACGACUUUGGAGUAAAAGUUACUGUUUCACUAAGUGGAGGUUCAAAAUGCAGAGCACGUCUUCAUUAUGCAUAGUACUCUUCAUUCAACUAAUAAAAUUUCUUACUAAUAUUUAAAAUGAGCGGGGGAUAUAAAGAUUGAAUAUAAAUCGGAUUAUGAUGUAAAAAGAAAUAAAGAAUAAAAUAAUUUAAAAAAUUUAAAUAAACAAAGAAACAUAAAAAGAAAAAAGAAAAGUGGAGAAAUAAAAAACAAAAGAAUAAAAAAUGAGCUACAUAACUAAAGCUAUAAGAAAAUAGGGUAUUUAUUGUAAUUAGUUAGGAGACAGAAAUAUAAAGGGUAUACAUAUGUAAUUAGUUUGUUUUUAUGGAUCAUAUGCUUAGUUUCCCCUUCUUAAAAAUCCAUGUGUUGCGCUAUUUUACAAAAAAAUAUGAAUGAGCAAUACAAUUGCAAGUAUAUAGGAGUGGACCCAAUUUUAUUUGAAAUGUGAAUAAGCAAGCAAUCAUGUUGGAGUGCUGCUUGCUUAUUAACAUUUUUUAGAUAUUAAUAAUAAUAUAAUUCCUUUAAAAACAUGUUGACAGAGUGCUGCUUGCUUAUUUUCAUUUUUUAUAUAAUAAUAAUAAUAUAAUUCUUUUAUAAAAUCUACGUUCUUUUGAAGAAAUGAAAAACAUGCAUCGCACAUUUUUUUUAGCACAAUUGUUUUUACUUACACAUCUCUUUCAUUCACAUUAAAAAUAAAACCAUAAAACAAAAAAAAAAACAUCACUCUCAUUAUGUCUUUGGUGAAUGAAUAUUCACAAUUGUUUUUUAUUUGGUCCACCAUUAGUCUUAUUAAUUUUUGUUGUUCAAAAUUAAACACUUGCCCCAAAACUAUUGGAUUAUGCAAGCCCAAUAAGCUUCAAGUUCCUUUGAUACAUGAAAGAAAAUAUUUUUCACAAAUAUUUUUAAAUUUUUUCAUGUAUAAUAAAUUAAAAUUUUGUUUAAGAAAAUAAAUUUCUUAAAAACAAGAAAAAUGAUUUUCAAAUAAAAAUAAAUAAAUUUCACCAGUGAUAUUGUGUUCUUCACCAUCCAACACACUUUAUUUUUACUCAAUCACACUUAUCUCCGCCACACCACAUCCAAACUUUCCCAACUCCGGCUCUUAUAGCAUAUUAUGUAUAUAUACAAAUAUUUUUUUUAGUUAUUUAUGGAACACAAAAUAAAUAUACUGUAAAUAACAAAUCUAUUUAUUUUUCUAAAGAUAUUUUAAAAAAAAAUGGCAUAGCCAUACCGAACUCAACACAUGAACACACCCUAUAUAUCUCCUUUAUUUUGUGACAUUUUUAAUUUACUCAACUACUAUUCUUGUCUGGCUGAAUAUCUAGAAUCACCAAACAAAAUAGCUGCAAUCACAACCCAACACGUAGCAUGAAGUAAGGGCGUUUAUGUCUUUUCAGACCGUGAGAAUAAGCCGGAUCCGGUGGCCAAAGAGCGUGACCGGCGAAGUAGCCGGAGCUCAGCCAGCAAUGGCGACGGUGUUGCCUUGUACGACGGCGAUCGACUGUAGUAUAAACCACUCAUCAUUUUCUCCACUCAGUUCUGUAGACCUUUCCCGAUUUUACUCCGUCAACCGACGUCUACAUAUAAAAAACUCUUCGUCUUCGUUUUCUUGCCAUUGCACUCCAACGAGUUCUAAUGGUGUUCGGCAAUCUAUAAAACCAGCUAUUGUUGGUAAAAAUGAGGGGCAUAAGAAGAAGAAUAGGAAUUUUAGUCUGAAAUCGUUGUCAGGAAGACGACCUAUGAUACUGUUUGCAUCAACGAAGAUGAGGAGCAUCAUUUUGCUCAAUAUUACUGCUAUGAUUUAUGGUACGUCUCAUAAAUUCUACCUUCAUAUUCAGUGUUUUUCUGAAUCAAAGAAGCUACUACUCUA